GACGACAAGACCCUAAAAGCUUUAUUUUAAUUUUUUAAACUUAAAUAAAUUUAGUUUUAGAUAAAAAUUUUACUGGGGUAGUACUAAAAUUAACUUUUUAAAUCUAUUCUUAUUUGGUUAAAGAUUCUUUAAUAUUAGGAUUUUGGAUAAGUUACUUUAGGGAUAACAGCGUGAUAAUACUGAAAAGAACAUACUUAUAGUAUUGAUUACGACCUCGAUGUUGAAUUAAUAAAUCUUUUUAAAGCAGAUUUUAAAGAAGAAGGUUGGUUCAACCUUUAAUUUAUUACAUGAUCUGAGU
RNAcentral lists this ribosomal RNA (298 nucleotides) under Crangonyx forbesi. RNAcentral describes it as "partial 16S ribosomal RNA". The stretch from base 162 to 298 matches the Rfam family "Bacterial large subunit ribosomal RNA", at positions 2473 to 2610 of the family's 2925-position model. Lineage: Eukaryota; Metazoa; Arthropoda; Malacostraca; Amphipoda; Crangonyctidae. The record is from RNAcentral.